UGAAGCGGCAAGAGCCCAAAUUUGAAAUCGGGCAACCGAGUUGUAAUUUGGAGACGGGACACUAGAGAGGAGGAAGGCGAUUAAGUGCCUUGGAACAGGCUGCCGUAGAGGGUGAGAGCCCCGUGAAUCGCUGGAGACCGAUCAAUUAGUGCCCGCCGAAGAGUCGAGUUGUUUGGGAAUGCAGCUCUAAGUGGGUGGUAUAUUCCAUCUAAGGCUAAAUAUUAGCGAGAGACCGAUAGCAAACAAGUACAGUGAUGGAAAGAUGAAAAGAACUUUGGAAAGAGAGUGAAAUAGUACGUGAAAUUGUUGAAAGGGAAGGGUAUUUGAUCCGACAUGGUGUUUAGCAGCGGCCCGUUCCUCGUGGAUGGGUGCACCUGGUUUACACUGGGCCAGCAUCGGUUCUGGGAGCCAUAUACGGGGUUCGUGAAUGUGGCCCUUCGAUUCUGUCGGAGGGUGUUAUAGCGCGGACAUCUUGUGGCUAGCCGGGACCGGGGACUGCGGUGACUUGUCACCAAGGAUGCUGGCAGAACGAGCAAAUACCACCCGUCUUGAAC
This 554-nucleotide ribosomal RNA is filed under the name Brettanomyces bruxellensis. Its description in RNAcentral is "partial large subunit ribosomal RNA". It matches the Rfam family "Eukaryotic large subunit ribosomal RNA", at positions 94 to 659 of the family's 3401-position model. Lineage: Eukaryota; Fungi; Ascomycota; Pichiomycetes; Pichiales; Pichiaceae. The record is from RNAcentral.